Molecule: long non-coding RNA, 1336 nt
Filed under: Olea europaea subsp. europaea
Lineage: Eukaryota; Viridiplantae; Streptophyta; Magnoliopsida; Lamiales; Oleaceae
Source: RNAcentral
CUGGUCAAUGAGUCAUUGAAGAGAUUCAAGACUUUCAAAAUUUCUUUCCAUCUUCUUUCCAAACUUUAAUUUCACAUGAUAUUGUAUCAAUUUUAAUUAUUAUUUUUUUUAUAAUUAUAUGAUAAUUGGCUAAUCUCAUAGAUGUCAGAAUAACGUUGAACCCUACGCUUUGAUAUUUUGAUAUAAAAUUCUGAAUUUUGACAUUAAAUAUAUGUUUGAUUAUCGAAUGAUGGCUAGAAGUUUAAUACUUUUCAAUUACUUGAUCACUCAUUGAAUUAUCUUGCGAUUCUAUAGACAUUCGACAAAAAAGAAUAGAAAUUAAUUCAACACGUAGUAACAAUCAUUUAAAGUCUGAUAGAGGAUUAAGAUAUACUAUUAUGCAUAAUCUUAUGAAUGUUCUUAUUAUUUAAUGUAUCUUUGCAUGCUCGCAUCGCUUAUAUAGUUAUAGGAUGGUUAUAUGUGAGGAUAAGUUUAGCUCUAUAUGAGAGAUCAGUAAACAAAUUAGGAGAAUUAAUCUUCAUAUCCAAAUAGGAGUUGUCUAAGUUUUGAAUUGAUAUUCAAGUAGGUGAAUGUAGAGGGAUUUGAAGUCCUAGUGUUCGUCAAUUACUUGGGUUUCAUAAUGCUUACAAUUAAUUAGUUAGAGUAGUUACAAUUAAAUAAAUCUCAUCCAUCAUCUAAUCUUGCUAUUCAAUUAAAGUUGGUUUAGUAAAACUAGAUUAAAUACUUAGUUUGUGUUAGAAAGAUACUCUACUCAUGUUUUAUUACUUGGCUACUGUACCAUGCACUUGCAAUAUUUUAGCAAAUAAAUUUUUUGACAACAUUGCCAAUGACAAUGUUACUUUUUCUUCUCUUUUUGCCACCGAUCUACUUAUUUUUUCUGAUUUCAUUGACAAGAACAGAGCAAAGCGAAAGAUCGAAAGCAAAUAGAGACAUGGGAUCCUGAAUAUGAUUAAGAGAAUAUGCCUAUGAGGGAGUUCACAGCCCCUAAAUCACUUUCAAUUGGCUAUAAUAAUCUCCAAAAUGGAUACACAAUGGAACAACUAAAGAAGAAUACGAUGAAGAGAUCGAUGAGUUAUUCAUGACAAAGCACUAUGAGUCAGUUGUAGUCAAUGAAGAAAGAAUUGGCAUGAAACAUCCAACUUCAUUGAUAUCGUGAUAAAAUUCGGUGUUCAUGUGUGUAUGAAUCAAGUAACGUAGGCAAGUCAUAUGAUAUUGAUGGCAUAGUCAACCUACACUUAGUAUGCAAACUAAGAAAGAUCUUUAAAACUAUAUUCAAAGUGCCAUGAAGUAAUUGUAAAAAAGUUGGGCUAGGAAUAUAAACAAGCUCUUAUUGUGG